This 509-nucleotide ribosomal RNA is filed under the name uncultured bacterium. RNAcentral's name for it is "bacterial SSU rRNA". It matches the Rfam family "Bacterial small subunit ribosomal RNA", at positions 19 to 518 of the family's 1533-position model. The record is from RNAcentral.
CUGGCUCAGGAUGAACGCAGACGACAGGCUAACACAUGCAAGUCGAGGGGCGAGCACGGGAGUAGCAAUACAACUGGUGGCGACCGGCGCACGGGUGAGUAACGCGUAUGCAACCUACCUAUCGAGAGGGGAAUAACCCGGCGAAAGUCGGACUAAUACCGCAUAAAACAGGGGCACCGCAUGGUGAUAUUUGUUAAAGAGAUUCGCUGAUAGAUGGGCAUGCGUUCCAUUAGGUAGUUGGUGAGGUAACGGCUCACCAAGCCGACGAUGGAUAGGGGAACUGAGAGGUUGGUCCCCCACACUGGUACUGAGACACGGACCAGACUCCUACGGGAGGCAGCAGUGAGGAAUAUUGGUCAAUGGGCGGGAGCCUGAACCAGCCAAGUCGCGUGAAGGAAGAAGGAUCUAUGGUUCGUAAACUUCUUUUGCAGGGGAAUAAAGUGCAGGACGUGUCCUGUUUUGUAUGUACCCUGAGAAUAAGGAUCGGCUAACUCCGUGCCAGCCGCGGC